AGGGCAGGGGGGUCUUCGCCUGCGGGUGGAGCCUGUCCGGCAAGGUUGCGCAUGAUGCGUGUCAGGCGCGACCGAGUGGUAGUCGCUCGGGGGUGAUCGCCG
Small RNA from Streptomyces acidiscabies, 102 nucleotides. It matches the Rfam family "che1 RNA". Lineage: Bacteria; Bacillati; Actinomycetota; Actinomycetes; Kitasatosporales; Streptomycetaceae. The record is from Rfam.